UACGUAGGGAGCGAGCGUUAUCCGGAAUUAUUGGGCGUAAAGGGUGCGUAGAUGGUUGAUAUAAGUCUUUUGUAAAAAUGCUAGGCUCAACCUAGUAGGGCAAAAGAUACUGAUGAACUAGAGUACGGCAGAGGCAAGUGGAACUACAUGUGUAGCGGUAAAAUGCGUAAAUAUAUGUAAGAACACCAGUGGCGAAGGCGGCUCUCUGGUCUGUAACUGACGCUGAGGCUCGAAAGCAUGGGUAGCGAACAGG
Molecule: ribosomal RNA, 253 nt
Filed under: uncultured Anaeroplasma sp.
Lineage: Bacteria; Bacillati; Mycoplasmatota; Mollicutes; Anaeroplasmatales; Anaeroplasmataceae
Description: partial 16S ribosomal RNA
Rfam family: Bacterial small subunit ribosomal RNA
Source: RNAcentral